CAGGCACGCAAAUUACCCACUCCCGGAACGGGGAGGUAGUGACAAAAAAUAACGAUACGGGACUCGAUAUGAGGCCUCGUAAUCGGAAUGAGUACACUCUAAAUCCUUUAACAAAAAUCUAUUGGAGGGCAAGUCUGGUGCCAGCAGCCGCGGUAAUUCCAGCUCCAAUAGCGUAUAUUAAAGUUGUUGCGGUUAAAAAGCUCGUAGUUGGUUCUGCGUCCCGCGCUGUCGGUACACCGUUUGUCGGUGACACUGGCAUGACGCGGGAUGUCCUGUCGGUGGCGGCGGAGACCAUAUCGUCGUCGGAUAACACCGCGGCGUGUUGGCCUUCUGUCGCCGGCUAUAUCCUACCGCGGUGCUCUUCACUGAGUGUCGAGGUAGGCCGACACGUUUACUUUGAACAAAUUAGAGUGCUUAAAGCAGGCAAAAAUCUCUGCCAGAAUAGUGGUGCAUGGAAUAAUGGAACAGGACCUUGGUUCUAUUCUGUUGGUCUCCGGAACACAAGGUAAUGAUCAAUGUGGACAGGCGGGGGCAUUCGUAUUGCGGCGUUAGAGGUGAAAUUCUUGGAUCGUCGCAAGACGCACUAGAGCGAAAGCAAUUGCCAAGUAUGUCUUAAUUGAUCAAGAACGAAAGUUAGAGGUUCGAAGGCGAUCAGAUACCGCCCUAGUUCUAACCAUAAACGAUGCCAGCCAGCGAUCCGCCGAUGUUCCUUUGAUGACUCGGCGGGGAGCUUUCCCCGGGAAACCAAAGCUUUUGGGUUCCGGGGGAAGUAUGGUUGCAAAGCUGAAACUUAAAGGAAUUGACGGAAGGGCACCACCAGAAGUGGAGCCUGCGGCUUAAUUUGACUCAACACGGGAAACCUCACCAGGUCAGGACAUUGGAAUGAUUGACAGAUUGAUAGCUCUUUCUUGAUUCAGUG
RNAcentral lists this ribosomal RNA (919 nucleotides) under Cimex hemipterus. Its description in RNAcentral is "SSU rRNA". It matches the Rfam family "Eukaryotic small subunit ribosomal RNA", at positions 429 to 1272 of the family's 1831-position model. The record is from RNAcentral. Lineage: Eukaryota; Metazoa; Arthropoda; Insecta; Hemiptera; Cimicidae.